Molecule: ribosomal RNA, 460 nt
Filed under: uncultured bacterium
Lineage: Bacteria
Description: partial 16S ribosomal RNA
Rfam family: Bacterial small subunit ribosomal RNA
Source: RNAcentral
CCUACGGGUGGCAGCAGUGAGGAAUAUUGGUCAAUGGGCGCGAGCCUGAACCAGCCAAGUAGCGUGAAGGAUGACUGCCCUACGGGUUGUAAACUUCUUUUAUAAAGGAAUAAAGUGAGGCACGUGUGCCUUUUUGUAUGUACUUUAUGAAUAAGGAUCGGCUAACUCCGUGCCAGCAGCCGCGGUAAUACGGAGGAUCCGAGCGUUAUCCGGAUUUAUUGGGUUUAAAGGGAGCGUAGAUGGGUUGUUAAGUCAGUUGUGAAAGUUUGCGGCACAACCGUAAAAUUGCAAUUGAUACUGGCAGUCUAGAAUACAGUUGAGGUAGGCAGAAUGCGUGGUGGAGCGGUGAAAUGCUUAGAUAUCACGAAGAACCCCGAUUGCGAGGGCAGCUUACUAAACUGCCACUGACAUUGAUGCUCGAAAGUGUGGGUAUCAAACAGGAUUAGAUACCCGAGUAGUC